Thamnophis elegans (Western terrestrial garter snake) is the source of this 982-nucleotide long non-coding RNA. RefSeq lists it as uncharacterized. The record is from RefSeq and is a predicted model, not a curated record. The transcript has 3 exons. Lineage: Eukaryota; Metazoa; Chordata; Lepidosauria; Squamata; Natricidae.
CUUGGUGGAAACCACUAUAACAGUUGCUAAUAUCUAACCCUCUCCCCUCUUAGAUGGAAUCAUCUGACUGUUAAUGUAGUCAUGCAGGACAAGCAAAUUCUGCAGAUGAGCUCUGAGGCAUUGAUUCCCCAAAUCUGAGAAAGACUAUAAUCCUUAAGCUUCUCGGAAAGGCUUGAUGUGGAAAGCUAUUUUGUAAGAAAGAAACAAGAAAAGAUUCUUGCCUCACACUUUACCACAUAUUAUGUAUGUUCAUAUUCUAUUUUGAAAUUGCUGAAAUUGCGCUGAUUAGUUUAUAUAGUAUUGAAUAAAGAGCACUGCAUGCUUGGCCAGGGGAAAUACUGAUGUUCUUUUAAAACUAGUUUACUGGCAUGUAUUCUAGAGAACCUGAUACACUUUUUUCAUUUCUACUGAUUUCAGAAUAAAGAGUUUUUAAUUCUGUUAUCUGCUUUGCAGGGAUUUGCCAUCUAGUCAAGACUCUGAGUUGGGCUGUCCAGAUACUAAAAAGAUUUGCAUAGAAAACAUUGUUGUACACUCAUUUUCUUCUCCUUCACCUCCCAUGUGCCAUGUAAAAAUUGCAAUUCUCAUGCUGAAGGGAUUGUCCCUUAUAUAAAUAAGUCUCAAGAUAUUCCAUAAUGUAGAUAUAAAGAUAUUUAUAAACUGACUUCACAUUUUGCAGUAAGACAUGGCUUGCUUAUUGAUGCUUAAAUAAAGCACAACAGGUGAUUCACACAGCACUGCAAAACCAGAUUAAUCAGUCCUGAGAUGUUAAAAUCAGCCUUUCCAAGUUGAUCUAUCUUGUGAAUAGACAUCAUCUCUCAAAUUCCCAGCCAGAAUACAAAUUGAUAAGUAUUUCUUAAAUAAUAAAGAGCCCUGCUGGAGCAGCAUAGUGACCUAGUGGUGUCACCACUCGGAAGGUUGAGAAUUCAAUCCUAGGUAGCAGCAGAUGCUUCCUUCCUAGGGCGCAAAGAAAAAAAAAUCUGCU